CCAGUAGCACCUUAGAGACCAACUAAGUUUGUUCUGGGUAUAAGCUUUCGUGUGCAUGCACAUUUCUUCAGAUACCAAGCUUAUACCCAGAACAAAUUUAGUUGGCCUCUAAGGUGCUGCUGG
Molecule: microRNA precursor, 123 nt
Filed under: Podarcis lilfordi (Lilford's wall lizard)
Lineage: Eukaryota; Metazoa; Chordata; Lepidosauria; Squamata; Lacertidae
Source: RNAcentral